RNAcentral lists this unclassified non-coding RNA (322 nucleotides) under soil metagenome. Its description in RNAcentral is "partial contains 5.8S ribosomal RNA, internal transcribed spacer 2, and large subunit ribosomal RNA". The stretch from base 1 to 120 matches the Rfam family "5.8S ribosomal RNA", at positions 35 to 154 of the family's 154-position model. The record is from RNAcentral.
GAUGAAGAACGCAGCGAAAUGCGAUAAGUAAUGCGAAUUGCAGAAUUCAGUGAGUCAUCGAAUCUUUGAACGCACAUUGCGCCAUGUGGUAUUCCGCAGGGCAUGCCUGUUCGAGCGCCAUUUCAACCCUCAAGCUCUGCUUGGUGUUGGGCCACGCCCCCGCGGCCGGCCCCAAAGCUAGUGGCGGUGCCGUCUGGCUCUAAGCGUAGUACAUCUCUCGCUCUAGGGCCCGGCGGUUGCUUGCCAGAACCCACACUCUUAUGGUUGACCUCGGAUCAGGUAGGGAUACCCGCUGAACUUAAGCAUAUCAAUAAGCGGAGGA